GUGGUGGUUCAGGGUAGAAUUUUUGCCUCCUAAAAAAAAAAAAAAUUUCUUUUUUUUUUAUGCAAGAGACCCAGGUUUGAUUCCUGGCCAACACA
This 95-nucleotide transfer RNA is filed under the name Loxodonta africana (African savanna elephant). It matches the Rfam family "tRNA". Rfam says of the family: Transfer RNA (tRNA) molecules are approximately 80 nucleotides in length. Their secondary structure includes four short double-helical elements and three loops (D, anti-codon, and T loops). Further hydrogen bonds mediate the characteristic L-shaped molecular structure. tRNAs have two regions of fundamental functional importance: the anti-codon, which is responsible for specific mRNA codon recognition, and the 3' end, to which the tRNAs corresponding amino acid is attached (by aminoacyl-tRNA synthetases). tRNAs cope with the degeneracy of the genetic code in two manners: having more than one tRNA (with a specific anti-codon) for a particular amino acid; and 'wobble' base-pairing, i.e. permitting non-standard base-pairing at the 3rd anti-codon position. Lineage: Eukaryota; Metazoa; Chordata; Mammalia; Proboscidea; Elephantidae. The record is from Rfam by way of RNAcentral.